RNAcentral lists this ribosomal RNA (446 nucleotides) under uncultured bacterium. RNAcentral's name for it is "partial 16S ribosomal RNA". It matches the Rfam family "Bacterial small subunit ribosomal RNA", at positions 338 to 795 of the family's 1533-position model. The record is from RNAcentral.
CCUACGGUGCGCAGCAGUCGAUACUCAUUCACAAUGGGGGAACCCCUGCUGGUGCGACGCCCCGUGGGGGAAUGAAGGUCUUCGGAUUGUACACCCCUGUCAUGUGGGAGCAAAUUAAAAAGAUAGUACCACAAGAGGAAGAGACGGCUAACUCUGUGCCAGCAGCCGCGGUAAUACAGAGGUCUCAAGCGUUGUUCGGAAUCACUGGGCGUCAAGCGUGCGUAGGCUGUUUCGUAAGUCGUGUGUGAAAGGCGCGGGCUCAACCCGCGGACGGCACAUGAUACUGCGAGACUAGAGUAAUGGAGGGGGAACCGGAAUUCGCGGUGUAGCAGGGAAAUGCGUAGAGAUCGAGAGGAACACUCGUGGCGAAGGCGGGUUCCUGGACAUUAACUGACGCUGAGGCACGAAGGCCAGGGGAGCGAAAGGGAUUAGAUACCCCAGUAGUC